AGAUUGGGGUAGUGGUUGCGGUAGAGUUUGAGUAUAGUGGGGCUUCUUCAAAAGGAGGUGGAGGAGGAGGAAAAGAUGACGAACCUUCAAAACCUCUGAGUGUUGGAUCAAUAAUGCUUAUUUUAUUCUUUCCUGGAGUAUUUUUGUAUUGUGUGGUGGGAGUGCUGGUAAAUAAAGGAGCAGGGAAAACAGGAAAGGAAAUGAUCCCGAACUCCAAAUUUUGGUCAGAUCUACCAGGAUUAAUAGCAGAUGGGUUUUCCUUUGUUCUUGCUAAGAUCACUUGUUCUCAGAUGACCACCUUACGACAGAGUUACAAUUCCAUGUAAUCCAGCCUAAUAUUUUAGGUCUUGACGCGUAUACAGUCUCUAUUUUUCCAGUAGGUUUUUUUCAUGACAUGCGGCUAGAUAGAACUUAGUAACUCCAGUAGUAAUUCAGUAAAAAGAAGCGGCUUAACUGAUAGUUGAGAUAAAGGCAAAAGAUAAUUAGUUAAUAUAACCCCUUACAUCCUAACAAUAGUAUGAAUUAG
Non-coding RNA from Pocillopora verrucosa, 526 nucleotides. The record is from RefSeq and is a predicted model, not a curated record. NCBI's taxonomy places the organism in Eukaryota, Metazoa, Cnidaria, Anthozoa, Scleractinia, Pocilloporidae.